This 720-nucleotide ribosomal RNA is filed under the name Escherichia coli. RNAcentral's name for it is "partial 23S ribosomal RNA". It matches the Rfam family "Bacterial large subunit ribosomal RNA", at positions 470 to 1191 of the family's 2925-position model. The record is from RNAcentral. Lineage: Bacteria; Pseudomonadati; Pseudomonadota; Gammaproteobacteria; Enterobacterales; Enterobacteriaceae.
AUACUCCUGACUGACCGAUAGUGAACCAGUACCGUGAGGGAAAGGCGAAAAGAACCCCGGCGAGGGGAGUGAAAAAGAACCUGAAACCGUGUACGUACAAGCAGUGGGAGCACGCUUAGGCGUGUGACUGCGUACCUUUUGUAUAAUGGGUCAGCGACUUAUAUUCUGUAGCAAGGUUAACCGAAUAGGGGAGCCGAAGGGAAACCGAGUCUUAACUGGGCGUUAAGUUGCAGGGUAUAGACCCGAAACCCGGUGAUCUAGCCAUGGGCAGGUUGAAGGUUGGGUAACACUAACUGGAGGACCGAACCGACUAAUGUUGAAAAAUUAGCGGAUGACUUGUGGCUGGGGGUGAAAGGCCAAUCAAACCGGGAGAUAGCUGGUUCUCCCCGAAAGCUAUUUAGGUAGCGCCUCGUGAAUUCAUCUCCGGGGGUAGAGCACUGUUUCGGCAAGGGGGUCAUCCCGACUUACCAACCCGAUGCAAACUGCGAAUACCGGAGAAUGUUAUCACGGGAGACACACGGCGGGUGCUAACGUCCGUCGUGAAGAGGGAAACAACCCAGACCGCCAGCUAAGGUCCCAAAGUCAUGGUUAAGUGGGAAACGAUGUGGGAAGGCCCAGACAGCCAGGAUGUUGGCUUAGAAGCAGCCAUCAUUUAAAGAAAGCGUAAUAGCUCACUGGUCGAGUCGGCCUGCGCGGAAGAUGUAACGGGGCUAAACCAUG